CCGAGUCUUAACCGGGCGUUAAGUUGCAGGGUAUAGACCCGAAACCCGGUGAUCUAGCCAUGGGCAGGUUGAAGGUUGGGUAACACUAACUGGAGGACCGAACCGACUAAUGUUGAAAAAUUAGCGGAUGACCUGUGGCUGGGGGUGAAAGGCCAAUCAAACCGGGAGAUAGCUGGUUCUCCCCGAAAGCUAUUUAGGUAGCGCCUCGUGAAUUCAUCUCCGGGGGUAGAGCACUGUUUCGGCUAGGGGGCCAUCCCGGCUUACCAACCCGAUGCAAACUGCGAAUACCGGAGAAUGUUAUCACGGGAGACACACGGCGGGUGCUAACGUCCGUCGUGAAGAGGGAAACAACCCAGACCGCCAGCUAAGGUCCCAAAGUCAUGGUUAAGUGGGAAACGAUGUGGGAAGGCCCAGACAGCCAGGAUGUUGGCUUAGAAGCAGCCAUCAUUUAAAGAAAGCGUAAUAGCUCACUGGUCGAGUCGGCCUGCGCGGAAGAUGUAACGGGGCUAAACCAUGCACCGAAGCUGCGGCAGCGAACGUAUCACUUAAAGCGAUUCAGCGGGUUACGAUUGACGGAGCGAAGCGACGUCAAAGCGUAUACAAAGUCGAGUCGGUUUAAGGAUACGUUCGUUGGGUAGGGGAGCGUUCUGUAAGCCUGUGAAGGUGGCCUGUGAGGGUUGCUGGAGGUAUCAGAAGUGCGAAUGCUGACAUAAGUAACGAUAAAGCGGGUGAAAAGCCCGCUCGCCGGAAGACCAAGGGUUCCUGUCCAACGUUAAUCGGGGCAGGGUGAGUCGACCCCUAAGGCGAGGCCGAAAGGCGUAGUCGAUGGGAAACGGGUUAAUAUUCCCGUACUUGGUGUUACUGCGAAGGGGGGACGGAGAAGGCUAUGUUGGCCGGGCGACGGUUGUCCCGGUUUAAGCGUGUAGGUGUGUGUUCCAGGUAAAUCCGGUUCACUUUAACACUGAGGCGUGAUGACGAGGCACUACGGUGCUGAAGUAACAAAUGCCCUGCUUCCAGGAAAAGCCUCUAAGCAUCAGGUAACAUCAAAUCGUACCCCAAACCGACACAGGUGGUCAGGUAGAGAAUACCAAGGCGCUUGAGAGAACUCGGGUGAAGGAACUAGGCAAAAUGGUGCCGUAACUUCGGGAGAAGGCACGCUGACACGUAGGUGAAGUGAUUUACUCAUGGAGCUGAAGUCAGUCGAAGAUACCAGCUGGCUGCAACUGUUUAUUAAAAACACAGCACUGUGCAAACACGAAAGUGGACGUAUACGGUGUGACGCCUGCCCGGUGCCGGAAGGUUAAUUGAUGGGGUCAGCGCAAGCGAAGCUCCUGAUCGAAGCCCCGGUAAACGGCGGCCGUAACUAUAACGGUCCUAAGGUAGCGAAAUUCCUUGUCGGGUAAGUUCCGACCUGCACGAAUGGCGUAAUGAUGGCCAGGCUGUCUCCACCCGAGACUCAGUGAAAUUGAACUCGCUGUGAAGAUGCAGUGUACCCGCGGCAAGACGGAAAGACCCCGUGAACCUUUACUAUAGCUUGACACUGAACAUUGAGCCUUGAUGUGUAGGAUAGGU
RNAcentral lists this ribosomal RNA (1572 nucleotides) under Salmonella enterica. Its description in RNAcentral is "partial 23S ribosomal RNA". It matches the Rfam family "Bacterial large subunit ribosomal RNA", at positions 677 to 2148 of the family's 2925-position model. The record is from RNAcentral. Lineage: Bacteria; Pseudomonadati; Pseudomonadota; Gammaproteobacteria; Enterobacterales; Enterobacteriaceae.